GGGGAAUAUUGCACAAUGGGCGCAAGCCUGAUGCAGCGACGCCGCGUGGAGGAUGAAGGCUUUCGAGUUGUAAACUCCUGUUAAGUGGGAAGAAAGACCGUUGGUGAAUAAUCAGCGGGGAUGACGGUACCACUAGAGAAAGCACCGGCAAACUUCGUGCCAGCAGCCGCGGUAAUACGAAGGGUGCAAGCGUUAUUCGGAGUUACUGGGCGUAAAGAGUAUGUAGGCGGUUAGUUAAGUUAGUUGUUAAAUACCAUGGCUCAACUGUGGAAAGGCAGCUGAUACUGAUUAGCUAGAGCGCAGAAGAGAGGAGUGGAAUUCCCGGAGUAGCGGUAAAAUGCGUAGAUCUCGGGAGGAACACCGGUUGCGAAGGCGGCUUCUUGGUCUGUGGCUGACGCUAAAGUACGAAAGCGUGGGGAGCAAAC
This 425-nucleotide ribosomal RNA is filed under the name uncultured bacterium. RNAcentral's name for it is "bacterial SSU rRNA". It matches the Rfam family "Bacterial small subunit ribosomal RNA", at positions 356 to 773 of the family's 1533-position model. The record is from RNAcentral.